CUUAAGCAUAUCAAUAAGCGGAGGAAAAGCAACAGGGAUUGCCCUAGUAACGGCGAGUGAAGCGGCAACAGCUCAAAUUUGAAAUCUGGCCUCUUUGGGGUCCGAGUUGUAAUUUGCAGAGGGCGCUUUGGUGUUGGCAGCGGUCCAAGUUCCUUGGAACAGGACGUCACAGAGGGUGAGAAUCCCGUACGUGGUCGCUAGCCCUCACCGUGUAAAGCCCCUUCGACGAGUCGAGUUGUUUGGGAAUGCAGCUCUAAAUGGGAGGUAAAUUUCUUCUAAAGCUAAAUACUGGCCAGAGACCGAUAGCGCACAAGUAGAGUGAUCGAAAGAUGAAAAGCACUUUGGAAAGAGAGUUAAAAAGCACGUGAAAUUGUUGAAAGGGAAGCGCUUGCAGCCAGACUUGCCUGUAGUUGCUCAUCCGGGUUUUUACCCGGUGCACUCUUCUGCGGGCAGGCCAGCAUCAGUUUGGGCGGUUAGAUAAAGGUCUCUGUCAUGUACCUCUCUUCGGGGAGAACUUAUAGGGGAGACGACAUGCAACCAGCCUGGACUGAGGUCCGCGCAUCUGCUAGGAUGCUGGCGUAAUGGCUGUAAGCGGCCCGUCUUGAAACACGGACCAAGGAGUCUAACAUCUAUGCGAGUGUUUGGGUGUCAAGCCCGAGCGCGUAAUGAAAGUGAACGGAGGUGGGAACCUUUCGGGGUGCACCAUCGACCGAUCCUGAUGUCUUCGGAUGGAUUUGAGUAAGAGCAUAGCUGUUGGGACCCGAAAGAUGGUGAACUAUGCUUGAAUAGGGUGAAGCCAGAGGAAACUCUGGUGGAGGCUCGCAGCGGUUCUGACGUGCAAAUCGAUCGUCAAAUUUGGGCAUAGGGGCGAAAGACUAAUCGAACUAUCUAGUAGCUGGUUCCUGCCGAAGUUCCCCUCAGGAAAAAUAACAACCAGCUACAAGAUGGUUCGAUAAGUCUUUCGCCCUAUGCCCAAAUUUGACGAUUGAAUUGCAGU
This 997-nucleotide ribosomal RNA is filed under the name Neoscirrhia matteucciicola. RNAcentral describes it as "Phoma matteucciicola partial large subunit ribosomal RNA". It matches the Rfam family "Eukaryotic large subunit ribosomal RNA", at positions 33 to 1117 of the family's 3401-position model. Lineage: Eukaryota; Fungi; Ascomycota; Dothideomycetes; Pleosporales. The record is from RNAcentral.